Molecule: ribosomal RNA, 497 nt
Filed under: uncultured bacterium
Lineage: Bacteria
Description: partial 16S ribosomal RNA
Rfam family: Bacterial small subunit ribosomal RNA
Source: RNAcentral
GACGAACGCUGGCGGCGUGCUUAACACAUGCAAGUCGAACGGAGCACCCUUGAUUGAGGUUUCGGCCAAAUGAUAGGAAUGCUUAGUGGCGGACUGGUGAGUAACGCGUGAGGAACCUGCCUUUCAGAGGGGGACAACAGUUGGAAACGACUGCUAAUACCGCAUGACGCAUUUUGAUCGCAUGGUCGAAAUGCCAAAGAUUUAUCGCUGAAAGGUGGCCUCGCGUCUGAUUAGCUAGUUGGUGAGGUAACGGCCCACCAAGGCGACGAUCGGUAGCCGGACUGAGAGGUUGACCGGCCACAUUGGGACUGAGAUACGGCCCAGACUCCUACGGGAGGCAGCAGUGGGGAAUAUUGGGCAAUGGGCGCAAGCCUGACCCAGCAACGCCGCGUGAAGGAAGAAGGCUUUCGGGUUGUAAACUUCUUUUAAGUGGGAAGAGUAGAAGACGGUACCACUUGAAUAAGCCACGGCUAACUACGUGCCAGCAGCCGCAGUAA